This 23-nucleotide non-coding RNA is filed under the name Arabidopsis thaliana (thale cress). Lineage: Eukaryota; Viridiplantae; Streptophyta; Magnoliopsida; Brassicales; Brassicaceae. The record is from RNAcentral.
CUAGGUAUCAAAAGAAUCACUGC